This 372-nucleotide ribosomal RNA is filed under the name uncultured organism. RNAcentral's name for it is "bacterial SSU rRNA". It matches the Rfam family "Bacterial small subunit ribosomal RNA", at positions 526 to 896 of the family's 1533-position model. The record is from RNAcentral.
CGUAGGGUCCAAGCGUUAUCCGGAAUCACUGGGCGUAAAGCGUGCGUAGGUGGCGCGUUAAGUGUGAUGUUAAAUCGUGGGGCUCAACCCUAUCGAUGCAUCGCAUACUGGCGUGCUAGAGGACAGCAGAGGCAAGUGGAAUUUGUAGUGUAGCAGUGAAAUGCGUAGAUAUUACAAGGAACACCAAUGGCGAAGGCAGCUUGCUGGGCUACUCCUGACACUGAGGUACGAAAGCGUGGGGAGCGAACAGGAUUAGAUACCCUGGUAGUCCACGCCGUAAACGAUGCAUACUAGACGUAUGGGGUAUCGACCCCCUGUGCGUCGAAGCUAACGCGAUAAGUAUGCCGCCUGGGAAGUACGGCCGCAAGGCUA